GACGGAGGGUGCAAACGUUGCUCGGAAUCACUGGGCAUAAAGCGCACGUAGGCGGUUGCCUAAGUUGGAUGUGAAAUCCCGUGGCUCAACCAUGGAACUGCAUCCGAUACUGGGCGACUUGAGGAAGGUUGGGGUGAGUGGAACUCCAGGUGGAGCGGUGAAAUGCGUAGAUAUCUGGAGGAACACCGGUGGCGAAAGCGGCUCACUGGACCUUUUCUGACGCUGAGGUGCGAAAGCUAGGGGAGCAAACGGG
Molecule: ribosomal RNA, 253 nt
Filed under: uncultured bacterium
Lineage: Bacteria
Description: partial 16S ribosomal RNA
Rfam family: Bacterial small subunit ribosomal RNA
Source: RNAcentral